CGGUGGAGCAUGUGGUUUAAUUCGAAGCAACGCGAAGAACCUUACCAGGUCUUGACAUCUAGUGCCAUCCUAAGAGAUUAGGAGUUCCCUUCGGGGACGCUAAGACAGGUGGUGCAUGGCUGUCGUCAGCUCGUGUCGUGAGAUGUUGGGUUAAGUCCCGCAACGAGCGCAACCCUUGUUAUUAGUUGCCAGCAUUAAGUUGGGCACUCUAAUGAGACUGCCGGUGACAAACCGGAGGAAGGUGGGGAUGACGUCAAGUCAUCAUGCCCCUUAUGACCUGGGCUACACACGUGCUACAAUGGGCGGCACAACGAGCAGCGAGUCUGUGAAGACAAGCGAAUCUCUGAAAGCCGUUCUCAGUUCGGACUGUAGUCUGCAACCCGACUACACGAAGCUGGAAUCGCUAGUAAUCGCGGAUCAGCACGCCGCGGUGAAUACGUUCCCGGGCCUUGUACACACCGCCCGUCACACCAUGGGAGUCUGAAAUGCCCAAAGCCGGUGGCCUAACCUUUCGGGGAAGGAGCCGUCUAAGGCAGGGCAGAUGACUGGGGUGAAGUCGUAACAAGGUAACC
This 572-nucleotide ribosomal RNA is filed under the name uncultured Lactobacillus sp. RNAcentral describes it as "bacterial SSU rRNA". It matches the Rfam family "Bacterial small subunit ribosomal RNA", at positions 930 to 1501 of the family's 1533-position model. The record is from RNAcentral. Lineage: Bacteria; Bacillati; Bacillota; Bacilli; Lactobacillales; Lactobacillaceae.